This 253-nucleotide ribosomal RNA is filed under the name uncultured bacterium. Its description in RNAcentral is "partial 16S ribosomal RNA". It matches the Rfam family "Bacterial small subunit ribosomal RNA", at positions 524 to 776 of the family's 1533-position model. The record is from RNAcentral.
UACGGAGGGUGCAAGCGUUAUCCGGAUUCACUGGGUUUAAAGGGUGCGUAGGAGGGCAGGGAAGUCAGUGGUGAAAUCUCCGAGCUUAACUCGGAAACUGCCGUUGAUACUCUCUGUCUUGAAUACCGUGGAGGUGAGCGGAAUAUGUCAUGUAGCGGUGAAAUGCUUAGAUAUGACAUAGAACACCAAUUGCGAAGGCAGCUCGCUACACGAAUAUUGACUCUGAGGCGCGAAAGCGUGGGGAGCAAACAGG